RNAcentral lists this ribosomal RNA (597 nucleotides) under Triticum aestivum (bread wheat). RNAcentral's name for it is "partial small subunit ribosomal RNA". The record is from RNAcentral. Lineage: Eukaryota; Viridiplantae; Streptophyta; Magnoliopsida; Poales; Poaceae.
AUGGCCACAAGUUUUUUCCAGGAGCUCUUCACCAAAGAUAAUCAGAUCGAACCUAAUAUUAUCCUUGACCAUGUCCAAGGCCGGGUUAAUGCUGCUAUGAAUGAUACAUUAUGUAAAGAACUCAGUGAUGAUGAGAUUGCAAAUGCUUUAUUCCAAAUCGGGCCACUAAAAGCGCCUGGGGCAGACGGCUUCCCGGCUCGUUUUUUCCAAAGACACUGGGCUACUUUAAAAGAUGAUAUUAUUCGGGCUGUAAAGAAAUUUUUUGCUGAUGGAGUUAUGCCUGAUGGGGUGAAUGAUACAGUUAUAGUCCUUAUUCCAAAGAAGAAAGACCCAGUUAAGUUGAAGGAUUUCAGACAAAUAAGUUUAUGCAACGUUGUUUAUAAAAUCAUAGCUAAGUGUCUGGUAAAUCGCCUUACACCUUUGCUCGAGGAUAUUAUAGCCCCCACCCAAAGUGCCUUCAUUCCUGGGAGGAUGAUUACGGAUAACGCCUUAAUAGCCUUUGAGUGUAUAAAUACCAUGCAAAAGUCAUGUGAUGCCAAAGGAUCUUUUUGCGCUUACAAACUAGAUCUGACAAAAGUGUAUGAUCGUGUGGACUAG